This 2130-nucleotide long non-coding RNA is filed under the name Panax ginseng (ginseng). RNAcentral's name for it is "long non-coding RNA (PGIN_LNC001306)". Lineage: Eukaryota; Viridiplantae; Streptophyta; Magnoliopsida; Apiales; Araliaceae. The record is from RNAcentral.
CAAUACAACUAUAACCAUUAACUCAUAAUACACACUUAUUCAAUCAGCUUUCCUUUUCCUUUGUUCGUGCCUGAGCCUUCAGAUUGCUCAUACAUAACUGAAAACAUUUAAUUUAAGCAAGGAUGAGCAUUUAAGUGCCCAGCAAGUAAUAGCAAUUAUAUAUAAGCUGAAAGAAUAUAAGUAUUCUCUUUACAUAACACUUCUACAACGAAUUGAAAGUUGUGAAGUAAUCUGUACUGAUAAAAAAUUCACAUAACAACUCUCUUUCAAAUUCUUUAAAUUUGGCUCUGGCUCUACCCUUGAAUAGGGUUUAAGAAACAUACUAUGAACAUUCUUUUCAUUUUCGAAAAGGUUUAGCGGAAUUCUAUCCUCAAACCGUCAUAACUUACGGGCACGGAGGGUGAUCAGCCCCGUUGUACCCUGUAUUGAUCAAUACUACAUAACUUGAACGAAAUUCAUCGCUCACUCUAUCCGCCUUGCGCAAAAAUCUUCCCAUAUAGGGAUGUUCAUACAUGCCUGGUUCCAAACCCGAAGGUUUUUAAUCUUGCUCAACAAUAAUAUGUAAUUCAACAUAUAUAUACGGGUAAUUGACAAAGGUGUAUCAACAUGUGAACAAAUGCCAUGAUUAUCCAAGUGGGGACACUUGUAUAACCAUUUAUAGAAAUCAAUGAACAGAAUAUAUAUCUGAGCUAACAUGUCGAUAAUCAAAGAGUACAUAAUCUGUACAGGGAUAGAAUAAUUCUGAAACUUCUUACUCAUGUCCAUUGCAUAAAGGAAGUGCAAAGGUAGGAUACUUGCCUGAUUCGCUGAUUACAAAUCUCAACUUAGGUUUUAUCUCUUUAUCACAACCUAUCAAUAAUCAGAUCAUUCGUUCGAUUAGAACAAUAUAUCUUAACACAUAGUACUGUCUAUUACAGUCAGCACAUAGUCUAAUCACAUAAUCACAGUGAUCAUACUUUUAGUUCCUAUUCUAUACUUGAAAUAUUUUUAUACAUUUUUCAAAUAUCUCAUCCAUGCUCUUACAGUAGUCUUUUCUUUCUUUUAUAAGGUCUGACAUUUGUCGGCGUACCGACAGCUUUAUCGGGUAAAUACUGAGUCUAAGACUCUUAUUCUAUACCUCAACAUCUGUAAAUAUCAGACAUCUUAUUUUUAAUCAUUUUCGCAAUUUCCAGAAAUUGAAAAAUUUAAAAUAAUUCAAAUCUGUCACUAAAGGGCCUAUAGUGAUAUAACUGUUACUAUAGGUGUUCUUCUUCAAAUUCAGAACUUCAUAAUCGGUUCUCAAGUCAGCUAGUUUGGCCGGCUAUAACUUUCAAAUAUCGGAAUCAUAAUUAAAUGAUUUAAACAUUAAACAAUUCCAUUAUCAUUAAUAGUUUAAUUAAUACUAAACUAUUAAUGAAACCAUUGCCAAAAUAUAAAAGUUAUUUAUAAUAACUCAAACUAUUUUUAAAACAUUUAUAUUACCCAAAUAAUUACCAUUAAUAUUUAAAUAUUAAUGUACUAUUUAUCCAAAUAUUAAAAGUCAUUAAUUAUAACUUAAAAUAUUUUUAAAUCCUUAAUAUCCUCUUUAAAUGGUUUUUAAAUAAGUAAAACCAUUUUUAAACUAUUUAUUUAAUAUUAAUCAUUAAAUAAACUAAAUAUCAUUAAUAUUAUCUUAAUAUCAUUAAUAUUUAAUUAUUAAUGAAAUUAUCAUUUAAAUAUUAAAAGUUAUAUUUUAUAACUUAAAAUAUUUUUAAAUACCUUAUUUUCAUUUAAAAUGAUUUUUAUAAUAUUAAAAUCAUUUUUAAACUAAAUUAUUUAAUAUAAUCAUUAAAUAACUUUAAUAUCAUUAAUAAUUAUUAAUUAAUGAAAUUCAUCACAAAAUAUUAAAAGUCAUCACAAAUAACUCAUUUACAUAAUCAAUUCCAAGCCAAAAUAAACAUAGUAAACUAACUAGUUUAUUAACAACACUAACUAAACUUCAAAAAUUCAAACUUUAACUAACAAUUAAAAAUAAUAACAUUACAAAAAUUAAAUAAGAAACAUACCCGGAAAUACGAAUUCCACAGACUGAAUACGCACUUCCACGCCAAAAUUUAACUAAGGAGAUCUUUAUAAAAAGUUCUCCCACAACAAAGCCUUUCUCAAAAAUUG